This is a long non-coding RNA of Oncorhynchus tshawytscha (Chinook salmon), 2362 nucleotides long. The record is from Ensembl. Lineage: Eukaryota; Metazoa; Chordata; Actinopteri; Salmoniformes; Salmonidae.
GAAGCAUUUUAAAGGUGUUGUUUCGCAAUUGGCAUUCUAGCAACAUAAAGUAGGCCUGCAGUUAACGCAGUUUGAAAUACAUGGUGCGAAAAAUCUACAAACUACUGUAGGUCGGGCGUGUGCUCACCUGUUUGUUGCCAACCCAGACACGCCCAUAUGUACCUGUUUGACGCCUGCAUACCUCAUGUGUACAUACAAGACGUCCUGUUUCCUGUUGUUUCGUUUAUCAACCCGCUGAUAUCCUGCUGAGGAUAUUUGUUACAGAAAAGAGGGGACACACAUCCUACAAGGUAAAUAAACUUGCCCUUCAACAAUACUUGAUAUUUGAGUCUAAAAGUACAGUAUUGUGCUGCUUUAUCUAUAUCCUUUAUGUCAUUUUUUAUUGAAAUCUCAAGUAGCAAGUAGACUGGGAUCUGUGCAGUGGUUUGUUGUGAGUUUGUGUAGUUGUUACAUUAUGAUAUAGGAUUAUCUAUAUAGUUUUGAGUAUUUGGUCGAGUAUCUUUCCCAAAGGUACAUGUUAUAUAGUUUUACCUUUAUAGUAGCCUACAUCUCAACCAGUUGCCCAGUGAGACUUAUACAACAGACUCAGCUGCUCCACUAAAACCCAGUAGACUGCUGCUCCACUAUAACCCCAGUAGACUGCUGCUCCACUAUAACCCAGGAGACUGUUGCUCCACUAUAACCCAGUAGACUGUUGCUCCACUAUAACCCCAGUAGACUGUUGCUCCUCUAUAACCCCAGUAGACUGCUGCUCCACUAUAACCCCAGGAGACUGUUGCUCCGCUAUAACCCAGUAGAAUCCGCACUGCUUCUUGACACCAAUGUUUCGGAGAAAACACUGUCCACCUGACGACCAAAGUCAGCUUGAUGGCGCCCGGCCCGCCAGAAGGAGUCACUAGAGCACAAUGAGUCAAGGACACAGCCUUGGUUCAAACCAAAAAUGUUUGUCCCAUUUUGUAAAUUAUUGGUUGGUGAGCGGACCCCAGACCUCACAACCAUAAAGGGCAGUGGGUUCUGUAACUGAUUCAAUGAUUUUUUUGCCAGGUCCUAAUUGGGAUGUUGAAUUUUAUGUUCCUUUUGACAGUGUAUUCUCUCAGAUUGUUCACAGCUUUGUGGAAUUCUCUCUUUCUCUCUAUAUUUCUCUCUCGCUCUCUCUCUCACUCCAUCUGCCUCUUUCUCUCUCUUUCUCCUCUCUCUCUCUCGCACACACUCUGCCUCUCUCUCAAUUCAAUUCAAGGGGCUUUAUUGGCAUGGGAAACAUAUGUUAACAUUGCCUCUCCCUCGCUCUCGCUCUCGCUCUCUCUCUCCCUGUCUUUCUUUCUCUGACACUCCUCUCUCUGUCUCUCUCUCUCUCUCUGUCUCUCUCUCUCUCUCUCUCUCUCUCUCUCUCUCUCAGAUAGAAUCUAAAGGGAUAAGGGAGAGAGAGAAAAUCAACAUUUACUCAGCCCUUUGAAUACAAGAAUGCAUUUGUUCACUGUCAAAGAUGAGAAAUUAAUCUGUUCAAUUCCCGGCGAAUGAAGCAAUUUGUCUCCAUUUUCUCCAGCCCUGUGCCAUUGCUAACCCUUCCUGUCAUCUCCAUAGAUUAAAUUCCUCAGCAGUUGGAGAAGAAAACUUGGCCUUUUUCCUUCUGGAGGAAUUGAAGAAACUGCAUGUUGUAUCAGACUACUGUAUCAGGAGACUACUGUAUCAGGAGACUACUGUAUCAGACCACUGUAUCAGACUACUGUAUCAGGAGACUACUGUAUCAGACUACUGUAUCAGGAGACUACUGUAUCAGGAGACUACUGUAUCUGGAGACCACUGUAUCAGACCACUGUAUCAGACAACUGUAUCAGGAGACUACUGUAUCAGGAGACUACUGUAUCAGACCACUACUACUGUAGACUACUGUAUCAGACUACUGUAUCAGGAGACUACUGUAUCAGGAGACUACUGUAUCAGACCACUGUAUCAGACUACUGUAUCAGGAGACUACUGUAUCAGACCACUGUAUCAGGAGACUACUGUAUCAGACUACUGUAUCAGACUACUGUAUCAGGAGACUACUGUAUCAGGAGACUACUGUAUCAGACUACUGUAUCAGCAUUGAAUUCCCACUAACCCUAAUCUGAUCCACUUUUUGCAGACACUCACUACUGUUAGCAGAUGUUUGUACUCGUUAUGCAGAUAAGGAUAAUUCAUCUAAAUUACUCAGUAAUUCAUGUUUUAAUCCGCUGAAAAUUGCAUUCUGUAAAUGUGCCUUACACUGGAAUAUUGUAGCAUUGUGAUUUUCCCAUUUUACCCAAUCCAAGGAAAGAAGAUCUUAUUCGGGAAAAUAAGGAAUGUUUUUGUUCUAAAUAAAUCAAUAUUUUUAUUCGGUAAA